GACAGAGGGUGCAAACGUUGUUCGGAAUUACUGGGCGUAAAGCGCGUGUAGGCUGCUUGGAAAGUCGGAUGUGAAAGCCCUGGGCUCAACCUAGGAAGUGCAUUCGAAACUUCCAAGCUGGAGUGCUGGAGAGGAAGGCGGAAUUCUCGGUGUAGAGGUGAAAUUCGUAGAUAUCGGGAGGAACACCGGUGGCGAAGGCGGCGACCUGGGUAGAUACUGACGCUGAGGUGCGAAAGCGUGGGGAGCAAACAGG
This 253-nucleotide ribosomal RNA is filed under the name uncultured bacterium. RNAcentral describes it as "partial 16S ribosomal RNA". It matches the Rfam family "Bacterial small subunit ribosomal RNA", at positions 524 to 776 of the family's 1533-position model. The record is from RNAcentral.